CCUACGGGGGGCUGCAGUGGGGAAUAUUGGACAAUGGGCGCAAGCCUGAUCCAGCAAUGCCGCGUGUGUGAAGAAGGCCUGCGGGUUGUAAAGCACUUUGAGUGGGGAAGAAGGCCUGGGGGUUAAUAGCUUCUGGGAUUGACGUUACCCACAGAACAAGCACCGGCUAACUCCGUGCCAGCAGCCGCGGUAAUACGGAGGGUGCGAGCGUUAAUCGGAAUUACUGGGCGUAAAGCGCGCGUAGGCGGGUAAGGCCGGGGCUUAAACUGGGAACUGCGUUUGAUACUGUUUGACUUGAGUGUGGUAGAGGGGUGUGGAAUUUCCGGUGUAGCAGUGAAAUGCGUAGAGAUCGGAAGGAACACCAGUGGCGAAGGCGGCACCCUGGACCGACACUGACGCUGAGGUGCGAAAGCGUGGGGAGCAAACAGGAUUAGAUACCCGUGUAGUC
Molecule: ribosomal RNA, 448 nt
Filed under: uncultured bacterium
Lineage: Bacteria
Description: partial 16S ribosomal RNA
Rfam family: Bacterial small subunit ribosomal RNA
Source: RNAcentral